Molecule: long non-coding RNA, 1052 nt
Organism: Peromyscus eremicus (cactus mouse)
Lineage: Eukaryota; Metazoa; Chordata; Mammalia; Rodentia; Cricetidae
Exons: 6
Source: RefSeq, a predicted model, not a curated record
CUCCACCCCUCUGUGUAGUAGUCCUUUCCCUGGGAUGGGGCAAGAGCCCUCUAGAAUGAGACUCCUACUUUGGGGAAAGGCUUCUGGAAUUUUUUGAACUCUUCUGAGACCAAAAGAGAAAUAGAUCAAAGAAGACCUCUGACCUUGAUUGUGACCUUCUGAAAGACCACUGGACUCUUCAGCAAACUACAGCAAUGUUCCUACAAAACGAGAGUCAGUCCUAAAGAUGGUAGACGAGGCAUUGAGUUUCUGUUUUUUGGGACUUGAAAAGAGAAACCAGGAACUACAAUAAAAUGCCCCUGUCCCAUGACCCUGCCAGGUCUUCAGGAAAAUGAACCCCUCAAAAGCGACAAGAUAUCCUAACAGAGCAGGCAGAAGACUCCUGAGCUGGGAGGAGCUCUCCCACCCAGUGGCCCCAUCAGAGGAAAGAGGGGUUGCCUAGUCAUCUGUUCGUCUCAGGGGCUGUCUGGGACUUCCGGCCUGGAUUCCUGAACUGGAAACACCUGAAAAGCAAGUUGUUCUAGGCACCGGUUUGGUGACUCCGUCAUCCUCCUGUGCAGAGGACCACACUAAGUCCCCGCUGUCAUCCUUGGGGCAGAUCUGAAGAAGGGUGCAGAUGGCUUACAGAUUGGACCAAAGAACAAAAGACCAAGGAGCCUGUGGAAGGAACAGAAGAGCCGUCUCCUGAAAGCCGAGAAGACAGAUGAUUUGCAGCCAGAAUUUGAUACAUGUAUCUGGGCUGAGCUAGAGUGAAAAUGGGAGCCAGGCCCAUAAAGGGGAGUCUGUAAACUUCAAAACUUCAAGAUGAAGGAACACAGCGCUGAAAUGAAAGGCAGAGAAGUGGAUGCCCACAAAAACGGCCCUUCCCCCUGGGUUGGAAACACACCUUGAAGCUCCGGGAAUAUACAGGAAUCUCCCUCUCCGCAGUCACUCCCUGAGCAUCCCCCAAACUGCAGAGACUGGCCAAGAAUGAGAAAACAAAAGAGUCACAUGAUAUGGAGGGAAGGAUUAUUAACUUGUUUUUCUGCCUCUUAAAAAGUGGUAAUUAUCAU